CUAUGCUCUAUGAGAUUAUAGCCAAUGAUGGAGCUUUUGCCUAUUACUUUUACACUCAAUGGACAUUUGCUUUAGUAAUGCUGUAUUUUGCGAUCUGAAAAUGGGAAAGUUGCUGAGUUUCUGAGAAGGGAUAUGGAAGAAUCUGCCAAGCUGCAGAAUCAGUAUGGUGAAGAUGCAUUUAAGGUAAUGUUGGGGAAUGUUAUGCAGGCUAUUUAUCAGGUUAGUCCAUGUUGAUGGCUAUAUUAUUAAGUAAGUAAAACCAUUUCCUGAAAUCUUGCUUUUC
Molecule: long non-coding RNA, 283 nt
Organism: Mercurialis annua (annual mercury)
Lineage: Eukaryota; Viridiplantae; Streptophyta; Magnoliopsida; Malpighiales; Euphorbiaceae
Exons: 3
Source: RefSeq, a predicted model, not a curated record